GAUGAAGACGAUGAGGAUGAAGAUAAUGAAGGGGAGGGGGGGCUGAGCAAAUCUGGGAAAGAGUUGAAAAAAUUGCUUAGGCGAACUGGUGGGCUUAAUGAUUCAGAUGGAGAGGAUGAUGAUGAUGACGACGAUGUUGAGGAGGAUACUGGUGGCACUCCAUCUUUACCUUCGAAGCAGAAGGAUACAGUUAAAGAAGAAGCUGCAGCCAGCAGUCCCUCAAAACUAACACCUUCUGGAUCUGCCAAGGGAACCCCUUCUACUGCAAAGACAGCAAAAGGGAAAAGGAAAAAUGGCGAGGAUGUGAAACCAUCCAGUGCACCUCCAAAGAAAAUGAAAACAGAGACGGAAUCGAAGUCUACAGAUGAAGGUGUAUCUACUUCUAAAACUACGGCCUCAAAAGGUGCACCAGCAUCAGUCAAAACUGAACCAGCAUCGCAUUCUGGACCCGUUACUGAGGAAGAAAUUCGGGCUGUUUUGCGGCAAAGGACACCUGUAACUACACAGGAUCUUGUUGCAAAAUUCAAAGCAAGACUACGAACCCCAGAGGACAAGAAUGCUUUUGCAGAAAUACUUAGGAGAAUUUCAAGGAUUCAAAAGACGAACGGAGGACCGAGUUACGUUGUGUUGAGAAAACCUGAAGACUAGAAGAAUUAAGUUAAUGAUUCCUUACUGGUUGGCGUGUUAUGGUCGUCGAGUAGAAUGUUUAUGUGUCGAAACUCUAUGCUGCAAACGCUCGAUGGGCUCCUCAUUCACAUGUGAUGAACUCGAUAUGGUACACUUUUAUCUAGGCAAAGGCAAAGGAUAAAUUUGUGGCUUUGAUAGAGGCAUUUGCUGUUGGAAUUUAAGUUGUAAGAGAUAUAGGUAUACGUUGAGAAAGAAACGAAAAAUUCUUCAGACCCUUUGUCAUAUUGGUUGUCAUAUAUUAACUUUGGCAUUUUCUAAAAGACCUUUCUAAAAUAAUGCAUGGAGUAAAGUA
RNAcentral lists this unclassified non-coding RNA (979 nucleotides) under Hevea brasiliensis (rubber tree). Lineage: Eukaryota; Viridiplantae; Streptophyta; Magnoliopsida; Malpighiales; Euphorbiaceae. The record is from RNAcentral.